Molecule: ribosomal RNA, 253 nt
Filed under: uncultured bacterium
Lineage: Bacteria
Description: partial 16S ribosomal RNA
Rfam family: Bacterial small subunit ribosomal RNA
Source: RNAcentral
UACAGAGGUCUCAAGCGUUGUUCGGAUUCAUUGGGCGUACAGGGUGCGUAGGCGGCGCGGUAAGUCGGGUGUGAAAUCUCGGAGCUUAACUCCGAAACUGCAUUCGAUACUGCCGUGCUUGAGGACUGGAGAGGAGACUGGAAUUUACGGUGUAGCGGUGAAAUGCGUAGAUAUCGUAAGGAAGACCAGUGGCGAAGGCGGGUCUCUGGACAGUUCCUGACGCUGAGGCACGAAGGUCAGGGGAGCAAACGGG